UGGGGAAUAUUGCACAAUGGGCGCAAGCCUGAUGCAGCAACGCCGCGUGAACGAUGAAGGUCUUCGGAUCGUAAAGUUCUGUUGCAGGGGAAGAUAAUGACGGUACCCUGUGAGGAAGCCCCGGCUAACUACGUGCCAGCAGCCGCGGUAAUACGUAGGGGGCUAGCGUUAUCCGGAUUUACUGGGCGUAAAGGGUGCGUAGGUGGUCUUUCAAGUCGGUGGUUAAAGGCUACGGCUCAACCGUAGUUAGCCUCCGAAACUGGAAGACUUGAGUGCAGGAGAGGAAAGUGGAAUUCCCAGUGUAGCGGUGAAAUGCGUAGAUAUUGGGAGGAACACCAGUAGCGAAGGCGGCUUUCUGGACUGCAACUGACACUGAGGCACGAAAGCGUGGGGAGCAAACAGG
RNAcentral lists this ribosomal RNA (403 nucleotides) under Verrucomicrobiota bacterium. RNAcentral describes it as "Verrucomicrobia bacterium partial 16S ribosomal RNA". It matches the Rfam family "Bacterial small subunit ribosomal RNA", at positions 355 to 776 of the family's 1533-position model. The record is from RNAcentral. Lineage: Bacteria; Pseudomonadati; Verrucomicrobiota.